GUAGGGGGCGAGCGUUGUCCGAAGUUACUGGGCGUAAAGCGCGCGUAGGCGGGUUGGCAAGUCUGCUGUGAAAGCCCGGAGCUUAACUCCGGAGGGUCGGUGGAUACUGCCAAUCUUGAAGGGACUAGGGGGAGAUGGAAUUACCGGUGUAGCGGUGAAAUGCGUAGAGAUCGGUAGGAACACCAGUGGCGAAGGCGGUCUCCUGGGGUUAUCUUGACGCUGAGGCGCGAAAGCUGGGGGAGCGAACGGGAUUAGAUACCCCGGUAGUCCCAGCCCUAAACGAUGGAUACUAGGUGUCGGGGGUAUCGACCCCUCCGGUGCCGCAGCUAACGCAGUAAGUAUCCCGCCUGGGGAGUACGGCCGCAAGGUUG
RNAcentral lists this ribosomal RNA (371 nucleotides) under uncultured bacterium. RNAcentral describes it as "bacterial SSU rRNA". It matches the Rfam family "Bacterial small subunit ribosomal RNA", at positions 527 to 896 of the family's 1533-position model. The record is from RNAcentral.